Etheostoma spectabile (orangethroat darter) is the source of this 107-nucleotide long non-coding RNA. RefSeq lists it as uncharacterized. The transcript has 2 exons. The record is from RefSeq and is a predicted model, not a curated record. NCBI's taxonomy places the organism in Eukaryota, Metazoa, Chordata, Actinopteri, Perciformes, Percidae.
UAACGCAACACACACAGAACAUUGAAGGUGUGUUGCUGUUGCCACAGACACAUUUAGUUUCUAAAGAAGCUGGUGGCAGCAAAAUAAAACACAGCUGGCUAAACUAU